AAGCUUGCUUCCCCGGGCGUCGACCGGCGCACGGGUGAGUAACGCGUAUCCAACCUGCCUCUGACUGAGGGAUAACCCGUCGAAAGUCGGCCUAAUACCUCAUGGCAUCGUCUGCGGGCAUCCAACGACGAUUAAAGAUUUCAUCGGUCAGGGAUGGGGAUGCGUCUGAUUAGCUAGUUGGCGGGGUAACGGCCCACCAAGGCUACGAUCAGUAGGGGUUCUGAGAGGAAGGUCCCCCACAUUGGAACUGAGACACGGUCCAAACUCCUACGGGAGGCAGCAGUGAGGAAUAUUGGUCAAUGGGCGGGAGCCUGAACCAGCCAAGUAGCGUGCAGGAAGACGGCCCUAUGGGUUGUAAACUGCUUUUAUGCGGGGAUAAAGUGAGGGACGUGUCCUUCAUUGCAGGUACCGCAUGAAUAAGGACCGGCUAAUUCCGUGCCAGCAGCCGCGGUAAUACGGAAGGUCCGGGCGUUAUCCGGAUUUAUUGGGUUUAAAGGGAGCGUAGGCCGCGGAUUAAGCGUGUUGUGAAAUGCAGGUGCUCAACGUCUGCACUGCAGCGCGAACUGGUCCACUAGAGUGUGCGCAACGCAGGCGGAAUUCGUCGUGUAGCGGUGAAUGCUUAGAUAUGACGAAGAACUCCGAUUGCGAAGGCAGCUUGC
RNAcentral lists this ribosomal RNA (659 nucleotides) under uncultured Bacteroidales bacterium. RNAcentral's name for it is "bacterial SSU rRNA". It matches the Rfam family "Bacterial small subunit ribosomal RNA", at positions 76 to 729 of the family's 1533-position model. The record is from RNAcentral. Lineage: Bacteria; Pseudomonadati; Bacteroidota; Bacteroidia; Bacteroidales.